UUUUCGAGUGGCGGACGGGUGAGUAACGCGUGGGUAACCUGCCUCAUACAGGGGGAUAACAGUUGGAAACGACUGUUAAUACCGCAUAAGACCACAGCACCGCAUGGUGCGGGGGUAAAAACUCCGGUGGUAUGAGAUGGACCCGCGUUCGAUUAGCCAGUUGGCGGGGUAACGGCCCACCAAAGCGACGAUCGAUAGCCGAUCUGAGAGGAUGACCGGCCACAUUGGGACUGAGACACGGCCCAA
This 246-nucleotide ribosomal RNA is filed under the name uncultured bacterium. Its description in RNAcentral is "partial 16S ribosomal RNA". It matches the Rfam family "Bacterial small subunit ribosomal RNA", at positions 88 to 334 of the family's 1533-position model. The record is from RNAcentral.